Molecule: long non-coding RNA, 1135 nt
Filed under: Rattus norvegicus (Norway rat)
Lineage: Eukaryota; Metazoa; Chordata; Mammalia; Rodentia; Muridae
Description: long non-coding RNA NONRATT015789
Source: RNAcentral
AGCCAGGAAGAGAGCACAAAACUGCCCUUAAGUCAUUGCAGACCCGGAGCUCCGGUGAGCCUGCCACGAGGUUCUCGCGAGAUCCGCCGCCUCCAUCCCAAGCGCCUGUGUCUGGCAGAGCCGGUGUGAGAAGAAGAGAGAAUCCUUCCCCGCCGCCGGGAUAAUCAAGAGUUUUGGCCGGACCUUUGAGUACACAUCGGGAUAGUGAGAAGCCCGGCGAAAAGCACAGACUAUGGCGCUGAAACGGAUUAAUAAGGAACUUAGUGAUUUGGCCCGUGACCCUCCAGCACAAUGUUCUGCAGGUCCAGUUGGAGAUGACAUGUUUCAUUGGCAAGCCACAAUUAUGGGACCUAAUGACAGCCCAUAUCAAGGUGGUGUAUUCUUUUUGACAAUUCAUUUUCCUACAGACUACCCCUUCAAACCACCUAAGGUUGCAUUUACAACAAGAAUUUAUCAUCCAAAUAUUAACAGUAAUGGCAGCAUUUGUCUUGAUAUUCUAAGAUCACAGUGGUCUCCUGCUUUAACUAUUUCUAAAGUUCUUUUAUCCAUUUGUUCACUGCUAUGUGAUCCAAACCCAGAUGACCCCCUAGUGCCAGAGAUUGCACGGAUCUAUAAAACAGACAGAGACAAGUACAACAGAAUAUCUCGGGAAUGGACUCAGAAGUAUGCCAUGUGAUGCUACCUUAAAGUCAGAAUAACCUGCAUUAUAGCUGGAAUAAACUUUAAAUUACUGUUCCUUUUUUGAUUUUCUUAUCCGGCUGCUCCCCUAUCAGACCUCAUCUUUUUUAAUUUUAUUUUUUGUUUCCCUCCCUCCAUUCAUUCACAUGCUCAUCUGAGAAGACCUAAGUUCUUCCAGCUUUGGACAAUAACUGCUUUUAGAAACUGUAAAGUAGUUACAAGAGAACAGUUGCCCAAGAUUCAGAAAUUUUUUUAAAACUGGAGCAUGUGUAUUAUGUGGCCAAUGUCUUCACUCUAACUUGGUUAUGAGACUAAACCAAUCCUCACUGCUCUAACAUGCUGAAGAAGCCAUCUGAGGGGGAGGGGGAUGGAUGCUGAGCUGUCACAUCAAAGGAAACAGCAUUAUUCCAGCAGCAUCCAUUCUUGUCUAAACCUUCCACUGUUAGAGAUUUGAGGU